CCUCAAUCUGUCUUCCUCAUACUACAGCUGUCGUCCCCCGCGUGUUCCUUAACGAAAUAAAAAUGAUAUGAAGUUCGAUGAAGCUUCGAGAAAAUUAACUGCAGACAAUUCUUUGUAAAUACAGACAGGAACAAUGAUGAGCAAUCGCCAAUAAUAUAUGGAGAAAUGUCAGAUCCUACACUGUCCGUAAUGAAAAGUACAUCCAGCCUUCAACCCACACCGACAGCACCUGACGCUGUUAUAAAAGCAGACGUGUCCAGUUUUCAUUGCUUUGAACAGUGGCCAGAUCAAUGUGAUUCUGUCUGCAGUAAGCUUGUGCAUCAUACCAGGACUUCAUCUUCUGGAUCAUAAUAUACCCAUAAUGACAUGAGAUGGUCUGGGUG
Misgurnus anguillicaudatus (oriental weatherfish) is the source of this 383-nucleotide long non-coding RNA. RefSeq lists it as uncharacterized. The record is from RefSeq and is a predicted model, not a curated record. NCBI's taxonomy places the organism in Eukaryota, Metazoa, Chordata, Actinopteri, Cypriniformes, Cobitidae.